AGUGAACGCUGGCGGUAGGCCUAACACAUGCAAGUCGAACGGCAGCACAGUAAGAGCUUGCUCUUACGGGUGGCGAGUGGCGGACGGGUGAGGAAUACAUCGGAAUCUACUUUUUCGUGGGGGAUAACGUAGGGAAACUUACUCUAAUACCGCAUACGACCUACGGUUGAAAGCAGGGGAGCUUCGGACCUUGCGCGAUUGAAUGAGCCGAUGUCGGAUUAGCUAGUUGGCGGGGUAAAGGCCCACCAAGGCGACGAUCCGUAGCUGGUCUGAGAGGAUGAUCAGCCACACUGGAACUGAGACACGGUCCAGACUCCUACGGGAGGCAGCAGUGGGGAAUAUUGGACAAUGGGCGCAAGCCUGAUCCAGCCAUACCGCGUGGGUGAAGAAGGCCUUCGGGUUGUAAAGCCCUUUUGUUGGGAAAGAAAAGCAGCAGGUUAAUACCCCGCUGUUCUGACGGUACCCAAAGAAUAAGCACCGGCUAACUUCGUG
Molecule: ribosomal RNA, 492 nt
Filed under: uncultured bacterium
Lineage: Bacteria
Description: partial 16S ribosomal RNA
Rfam family: Bacterial small subunit ribosomal RNA
Source: RNAcentral